UACGCCCGAUCUCGUCCGAUCUCGGAANCCAAGCAGGGUCGGGCCUGGUUAGUACUUGGAUGGGAGACCGCCUGGGAAUACCAGGUGCUGUAAGCUU
This 97-nucleotide ribosomal RNA is filed under the name Chelon labrosus (thicklip grey mullet). Lineage: Eukaryota; Metazoa; Chordata; Actinopteri; Mugiliformes; Mugilidae. The record is from RNAcentral.